AUUGAACGCUGGCGGCAGCUUAACACAUGCAAGUCGAGCGGGGUGAUGGUGCUUGCACUAUCACUUAGCGGCGGACGGGUGAGUAAUGCUUAGGAAUCUGCCUAUUAGUGGGGGACAACAUCUCGAAAGGGAUGCUAAUACCGCAUACGUCCUACGGGAGAAAGCAGGGGAUCACUUGUGACCUUGCGCUAAUAGAUGAGCCUAAGUCGGAUUAGCUAGUUGGUGGGGUAAAGGCCUACCAAGGCGACGAUCUGUAGCGGGUCUGAGAGGAUGAUCCGCCACACUGGGACUGAGACACGGCCCAGACUCCUACGGGAGGCAGCAGUGGGGAAUAUUGGACAAUGGGGGAACCCUGAUCCAGCCAUGCCGCGUGUGUGAAGAAGGCCUUAUGGUUGUAAAGCACUUUAAGCGAGGAGGAGGCUCUUUUGGUUAAUACCCAAGAUGAGUGGACGUUACUCGCAGAAUAAGCACCGGCUAACUCUGUGCCAGCCGCCGCAGUAA
This 501-nucleotide ribosomal RNA is filed under the name uncultured bacterium. RNAcentral describes it as "partial 16S ribosomal RNA". It matches the Rfam family "Bacterial small subunit ribosomal RNA", at positions 30 to 523 of the family's 1533-position model. The record is from RNAcentral.